GAUGAACGCUGGCGGUCUGCUUAACACAUGCAAGUCGAACGGAAUCCUUAGGGAUUUAGUGGCGGACGGGUGAGUAACACGUAAGAACCUGCCUCUUGGACGGGGACAACAGUUGGAAACGGCUGCUAAUCCCGGAUAAGCCGAAAGGUAAAAGAUUUAUCGCCAAGAGAGGGGCUUGCGUCUGAUUAGCUAGUUGGUAGGGUAAGAGCCUACCAAGGCGACGAUCAGUAGCUGGUCUGAGAGGAUGAUCAGCCACACUGGGACUGAGACACGGCCCAGACUCCUACGGGAGGCAGCAGUGGGGAAUUUUCCGCAAUGGGCGAAAGCCUGACGGAGCAAGACCGCGUGGGGGAGGAAGGUUCUUGGAUUGUCAACCCCUUUUCUCAGGGAAGAACACAAUGACGGUACCUGAGGAAAAAGCAUCGGCUAACUCCGUGCCAGCAGCCGCGGUAAUACGGGGGAUGCAAGCGUUAUCCGGAAUGAUUGGGCGUAAAGAGUCCGUAGGUAGUCAUCCAAGUCUGCUGUUAAAGAGCGAGGCUUAACCUCGUAAAGGCAGUGGAAACUGGAAGACUAGAGUGUAGUAGGGGCAGAGGGAAUUCCUGGUGUAGCGGUGAAAUGCGUAGAGAUCAGGAAGAACACCGGUGGCGAAGGCGCUCUGCUGGGCUAUAACUGACACUGAGGGACGAAAGCUAGGGGAGCGAAUGGGAUUAGAUACCCCAGUAGUCCUAGCGGUAAACGAUGGAAACUAGGUGUGGCCUGUAUCGACCCGGGCCGUGCCGAAGCAAACGCGUUAAGUUUCCCGCCUGGGGAGUACGCACGCAAGUGUGAAACUCAAAGGAAUUGACGGGGGCCCGCACAAGCGGUGGAGUAUGUGGUUUAAUUCGAUGCAACGCGAAGAACCUUACCAGGACUUGACAUCUCUGGAAUCUCCUUGAAAGGGGAGAGUGCCGUAAGGAACCAGAAGACAGGUGCUGCAUGGCUGUCGUCAGCUCGUGUCGUGAGAUGUUGGGUUAAGUCCCGCAACGAGCGCAACCCUCGUCGUUAGUUGCCAUCAUUAAGUUGGGAACUCUAGCGAGACUGCCGGUGACAAACCGGAGGAAGGUGAGGAUGACGUCAAGUCAGCAUGGCCCUUACGUCCUGGGCGACACACGUACUACAAUGCGAGGGACACAGAGCAGCCAACCCGCGAGGGAGAGCGAAUCUCACAAACCCUGGCACAGUUCAGAUUGCAGGCUGCAACUCGCCUGCAUGAAGGAGGAAUCGCUAGUAAUCGCAGGUCAGCAUACUGCGGUGAAUCCGUUCCCGGGCCUUGUACACACCGCCCGUCACACCAUGGAAGUGAGCCACGCCCGAAGUCAUUACUCUAACCCUUUCGGGGGAGGAGGGUGCCGAAGGCGGGGUUGAUGACUGGGGUG
This 1415-nucleotide ribosomal RNA is filed under the name uncultured bacterium. Its description in RNAcentral is "bacterial SSU rRNA". It matches the Rfam family "Bacterial small subunit ribosomal RNA". The record is from RNAcentral.